GAUGAACGCUGGCGGCGUGCCUAAUACAUGCAAGUCGAGCGAACGGACGAGAAGCUUGCUUUUCUGAUGUUAGCGGCGGACGGGUGAGUAACACGUGGAUAACCUACCUAUAAGACUGGGAUAACUUCGGGAAACCGGAGCUAAUACCGGAUAAUAUUUUGAACCGCAUGGUUCAAAAGUGAAAGACGGUCUUGCUGUCACUUAUAGAUGGAUCCGCGCUGCAUUAGCUAGUUGGUAAGGUAACGGCUUACCAAGGCAACGAUGCAUAGCCGACCUGAGAGGGUGAUCGGCCACACUGGAACUGAGACACGGUCCAGGCUCCUACGGGAGGCAGCAGUAGGCAAUCUUCCGCAAUGGGCGAAAGCCUGACGGAGCAACGCCGCGUGAGUGAUGAAGGUCUUCGGAUCGUAAAACUCUGUUAUGAGUGAAGAACAUAUGUGUAAGUAACUGUGCACAUCUUGACGGUACCUAAUCAGAAAGCCACGGCUAACUACGUG
This 497-nucleotide ribosomal RNA is filed under the name uncultured bacterium. RNAcentral describes it as "partial 16S ribosomal RNA". It matches the Rfam family "Bacterial small subunit ribosomal RNA", at positions 28 to 507 of the family's 1533-position model. The record is from RNAcentral.